Molecule: ribosomal RNA, 736 nt
Filed under: uncultured eukaryote
Lineage: Eukaryota
Description: bacterial SSU rRNA
Rfam family: Bacterial small subunit ribosomal RNA
Source: RNAcentral
GCAGCGUUAUCCGGAAUCAUUGGGCGUAAAGCGCCUGUAGGUUGUUUAUUAAGUCUGUUGUUAAAGACUAGGGCUUAACCCUAGAAAAGCAAUGGAAACUAAUAGACUAGAGUAUGGCAGGGGUAGAGGGAAUUUCUAGUGUAGCGGUGAAAUGCGUAGAUAUUAGAAAGAACACCGGUGGCGAAAGCGCUCUACUGGACCAUUACUGACACUCAGAGGCGAAAGCUAGGGUAGCAAAAGGGAUUAGAUACCCCUGUAGUCCUAGCCGUAAACGAUGGAUACUAGAUGUUGUGCAUUAAGUACAGUAUCCUAGCUAACGCGUUAAGUAUCCCGCCUGGGGAGUACGCUCGCAAGGGUGAAACUCAAAGGAAUUGACGGGGGCCCGCACAAGCGGUGGAGCAUGUGGUUUAAUUCGAUGCAACGCGAAGAACCUUACCAGGGCUUGACAUACUACGAAUUCUUUUGAAAGAGAGAAGUGCCUUCGGGAAUGUAGAUACAGGUGGUGCAUGGCUGUCGUCAGCUCGUGUCGUGAGAUGUUGGGUUAAGUCCCGCAACGAGCGCAACCCUUAUUUUUAGUUACCAAUUCGUUGGGUUUUUUAGAAAGACUGCCGGUGACAAACCGGAGGAAGGUGAGGAUGACGUCAAGUCAGCAUGCCCCUUAUGUCCUGGGCUACACACGUGCUACAAUGGUUAAGACAAAGAGUUGCGAGCUUGUAAAAGUCAGCUAAUCUCAUAA